RNAcentral lists this ribosomal RNA (879 nucleotides) under uncultured bacterium. RNAcentral describes it as "bacterial SSU rRNA". It matches the Rfam family "Bacterial small subunit ribosomal RNA", at positions 8 to 916 of the family's 1533-position model. The record is from RNAcentral.
AGAGUUUGAUCAUGGCUCAGGAUGAACGCUGGCGGCGUGCCUAACACAUGCAAGUCGAGCGAUUCUCUUCGGAGAAGGGCGGCGGACGGGUGAGUAACGCGUGGGUAACCUGCCUCAUACACAUGGAUAACAUACCGAAAGGUAUGCUAAUACAAGAUGAUAUAAGAGAUUCGCAUGGAUUUCUUAUCAAAGCUCCGGCGGUAUGAGAUGGACCCGCGUCUGAUUAGCUAGUUGGUAAGGUAACGGCUUACCAAGGCGACGAUCAGUAGCCGACCUGAGAGGGUGAUCGGCCACAUUGGAACUGAGACACGGUCCAAACUCCUACGGGAGGCAGCAGUGGGGAAUAUUGCACAAUGGGCGAAAGCCUGAUGCAGCAACGCCGCGUGAGCGAUGAAGGCCUUCGGGUCGUAAAGCUCUGUCCUCAAGGAAGAUAAUGACGGUACUUGAGGAGGAAGCCCCGGCUAACUACGUGCCAGCAGCCGCGGUAAUACGUAGGGGGCUAGCGUUAUCCGGAUUUACUGGGCGUAAAGGGUGCGUAGGUGGUUUCUUAAGUCAGGAGUGAAAGGCUACGGCUCAACCGUAGUAAGCUCUUGAAACUGGGAGACUUGAGUACAGGAGAGGAAAGUGGAACUCCUAGUGUAGCGGUGAAAUGCGUAGAUAUUAGGAGGAACACCAGUAGCGAAGGCGGCUUUCUGGACUGUAACUGACACUGAGGCACGAAAGCGUGGGGAGCAAACAGGAUUAGAUACCCUGGUAGUCCACGCCGUAAACGAUGAGUACUAGGUGUCGGGGGUUACCCCCCUCGGUGCCGCAGCUAACGCAUUAAGUACUCCGCCUGGGGAGUACGCUCGCAAGAGUGAAACUCAAAGGAAUUGACGG